ACUCCUACGGGAGGCAGCAGUGGGGAAUAUUGCACAAUGGGCGCAAGCCUGAUGCAGCCAUGCCGCGUGUAUGAAGAAGGCCUUCGGGUUGUAAAGUACUUUCAGCAGUGAGGAAGGCGGAGUCGUUAAUAGCGGCAUCAUUUGACGUUAGCAACAGAAGAAGCACCGGCUAACUCCGUGCCAGCAGCCGCGGUAAUACGGAGGGUGCGAGCGUUAAUCGGAAUUACUGGGCGUAAAGCGCAUGCAGGUGGUUUGUUAAGUCAGAUGUGAAAGCCCGGGGCUCAACCUCGGAACUGCAUUUGAAACUGGCAGACUAGAGUACUGUAGAGGGGGGUAGAAUUUCAGGUGUAGCGGUGAAAUGCGUAGAGAUCUGAAGGAAUACCGGUGGCGAAGGCGGCCCCCUGGACAGAUACUGACACUCAGAUGCGAAAGCGUGGGGAGCAAACAGGAUUAGAUACCCUGGUAGCACAGAG
RNAcentral lists this ribosomal RNA (473 nucleotides) under uncultured bacterium. RNAcentral describes it as "bacterial SSU rRNA". It matches the Rfam family "Bacterial small subunit ribosomal RNA", at positions 335 to 799 of the family's 1533-position model. The record is from RNAcentral.